UUGCUGCAGUAGCAGAUACACUAAAAUUAGAACGAUACAGAGAUUAGCAUGGCCUUUGCACAAAGA
Molecule: small nuclear RNA, 66 nt
Filed under: Ochotona princeps (American pika)
Lineage: Eukaryota; Metazoa; Chordata; Mammalia; Lagomorpha; Ochotonidae
Source: RNAcentral